This 427-nucleotide ribosomal RNA is filed under the name uncultured bacterium. RNAcentral describes it as "partial 16S ribosomal RNA". It matches the Rfam family "Bacterial small subunit ribosomal RNA", at positions 355 to 774 of the family's 1533-position model. The record is from RNAcentral.
UGGGGAAUUUUGGACAAUGGGCGAAAGCCUGAUCCAGCAAUGCCGCGUGAGUGAAGAAGGCCUUCGGGUUGUAAAGCUCUUUUGUCAGGGAAGAAACGGUGAGGGCUAAUAUCCCUUGCUAAUGACGGUACCUGAAGAAUAAGCACCGGCUAACUACGUGCCAGCAGCCGCGGGAAUAAGUAGGGUGCAAGCGUUAAUCGGAAUUACUGGGCGUAAAGCGUGCGCAGGCGGUUUUGUAAGUCUGAUGUGAAAUCCCCGGGCUCAACCUGGGAAUUGCAUUGGAGACUGCAAGGCUAGAAUCUGGCAGAGGGGGGUAGAAUUCCACGUGUAGCAGUGAAAUGCGUAGAUAUGUGGAGGAACACCGAUGGCGAAGGCAGCCCCCUGGGUCAAGAUUGACGCUCAUGCACGAAAGCGUGGGGAGCAAACA